Molecule: ribosomal RNA, 288 nt
Filed under: Blastocystis hominis
Lineage: Eukaryota; Bigyra; Opalinata; Blastocystidae
Description: partial 18S ribosomal RNA
Rfam family: Eukaryotic small subunit ribosomal RNA
Source: RNAcentral
GAUUAAGCCAUGCAUGUGUAAGUAUAAAUAGUUAACUUUGAAACUGCGAAUGGCUCAUUAUAUCAGUUAUAGUUUAUUUGAUGAAGAAUACUAAUUGGAUAACCGUAGUAAUUCUAGAGCUAAUACAUGUAUAAAGUCUUGUAGACUGCAUUUAUUAGAAUGAAAACCAUAGGUUUCGGCCUAUUCGUGAGUAAUAAUAACUAAUCAUAUCGUAUGCUUAUGUAACCGAUGUGUCUUUCCAAGUUUCUGCCCUAUCAGCUUUCGAUGGUAGUGUAUUGGACUACCAUG